GAACCGUGGCAAUAGAUGACCUCU
Molecule: microRNA, 24 nt
Filed under: Lotus japonicus
Lineage: Eukaryota; Viridiplantae; Streptophyta; Magnoliopsida; Fabales; Fabaceae
Description: lja-miR11168-5p
Source: miRBase by way of RNAcentral